RNAcentral lists this transfer RNA (74 nucleotides) under Mniodendron comosum. Its description in RNAcentral is "tRNA-Pro". The record is from RNAcentral. Lineage: Eukaryota; Viridiplantae; Streptophyta; Bryopsida; Hypnodendrales; Spiridentaceae.
UGGGACAUAGCGUAGUUUGGUAAUGUGUUAUCUUGGGAUGAUGGAGAUCGUGGAUUCAAAUACCGCUGCUCCAA